GACGAACGCUGGCGGCGUGCUUAAUACAUGCAAGUCGAACGGAAAGGCCCUGCUUUUGUGGGGUGCUCGAGUGGCGAACGGGUGAGUAACACGUGAGUAACCUGCCCUUGACUUUGGGAUAACUUCAGGAAACUGGGGCUAAUACCGGAUAGGAGCUCCUGCUGCAUGGUGGGGGUUGGAAAGUUUCGGCGGUUGGGGAUGGACUCGCGGCUUAUCAGCUUGUUGGUUGGGUAGUGGCUUACCAAGGCUUUGACGGGUAGCCGGCCUGAGAGGGUGACCGGCCACAAUGGGACUGAGAGAGGGCCCAGAGUCCUACGGGAGGCAGCAGUGGGGAAUAUUGCACAAUGGGCGGAAGUCUGAUGCAGAAACGCCGCGUGCGGGAUGACGGCCUUCGGGUUGUAAACCGCUUUCGCCUGUGACGAAGCGUGAGCGACGGUAAUGGGUAAAGAAGCACCGGCUAACUACGUG
This 468-nucleotide ribosomal RNA is filed under the name uncultured bacterium. RNAcentral describes it as "partial 16S ribosomal RNA". It matches the Rfam family "Bacterial small subunit ribosomal RNA", at positions 28 to 507 of the family's 1533-position model. The record is from RNAcentral.